RNAcentral lists this long non-coding RNA (603 nucleotides) under Sinocyclocheilus grahami. RNAcentral describes it as "lncRNA (ENSSGRG00000031549.1)". Lineage: Eukaryota; Metazoa; Chordata; Actinopteri; Cypriniformes; Cyprinidae. The record is from RNAcentral.
AUGGUCAGUGAAGCUCUUGUGCAAAUUUUAAGUGGGAUCAAGACUGUUAUACAGUGUAUUUCCACCAUGUUUAGGGGCAUUGAAGGGGACACAGGCAUCACUGAAACAGCGAAACUUGGUGGCACUGUAUUGGAUGAGGUUACUGACUGGAUUAGAUUCCCAGUGGCUUACUUAUUCCACUUAUUUGAAGAUAUCCUGGAUGUAGCAAUCAUUUAUCCAGCAGACACUGCCAGUGAAGCAGCUCUGCAAAUUUUAAGUGGGAUCAAGACCAUUUCUUCAGCCAUAUUCGGGAACCUUGAAGCUUGGUUUCCCAAAAUGAGCACUGAUCCUGCGGAGCUGGCUGAAAUAGUUGUAGAGGAGGCCACAGAAGUAAAGACCACUGUUUCUAAUUACCUAUCCAGUCUGUUUGCAGCGGAUGAAGGUGGUAUUCCUGACCUUAGCUUUGAUCCCAUGAAAGUUGUCACAGACACUGUUGAAGAGUUUGCUGACAGGAGGGAUAUGUUCUUGGCUUAUCUCUCAAACAUGCUCAUGGAAGACAAAGGUAUUCAUCCUAUCAAGUAUAUCACAAAUGUAUGCUUGUAUAUUAAAAUAGUUAUUUUUUAA